This 127-nucleotide small RNA is filed under the name Marmota monax (woodchuck). The record is from RNAcentral. Lineage: Eukaryota; Metazoa; Chordata; Mammalia; Rodentia; Sciuridae.
GCUGGGCAUUGUGGCACAUGCCUGUCAUCCCAGCAGCUUGGGAGGCUGAGGCAGGAGGAUCACAAAUUCAAAGCCAACCUCAGCAAUUUAGGGAGGCCCUGAGCAAUUCAGAGAGACCCUGUCUCUA